Molecule: non-coding RNA, 46 nt
Organism: Chaetura pelagica (chimney swift)
Lineage: Eukaryota; Metazoa; Chordata; Aves; Apodiformes; Apodidae
Source: Rfam
ACUCAGGCUCUUCCAAGAGCCACCCAGAUUUACAGUCGUGGGAUCU